Molecule: long non-coding RNA, 1837 nt
Organism: Medicago truncatula (barrel medic)
Lineage: Eukaryota; Viridiplantae; Streptophyta; Magnoliopsida; Fabales; Fabaceae
Exons: 3
Source: RefSeq, a predicted model, not a curated record
UCCCAGGGUCUGCUUCUGUUUACAGCUUAGGCUUUUCUGCGUUUUCUGUGGGGUUUCGCUAUCUCGGGCCUUUGUUUUCGCUGUUCCCUUAUUAGCUCCUAUCGUACGUCGUGUAUGGUAUUUGGUGGUUUAAAUAUAUAAGUUGUUUAAAAAAAAUAAAAGAGAAAUCCCAGAUUCUUGUCUUUGAAGAGUCAUCAUUCAUUUCCAACGUGAUGGUCUAUCAGGCCUCAUAGGAGUUCUUAUCUGCUGAAGUGGUCAAAGGUCAAGUUCAUCAUCGUGGGAAAGGUGGUUAGUUAAUUAUUCUGGCUUAUCUAUUUAUCUAAUUGAAAUAUUAGUAACAUGGUUAUUGGACUCUUAGUUACGUUGCAAGGCCACUCCAUGAAAUCAAAGAAGCUACAAAACUACAAAGAGCUCGUGCUUGGAAGGCUGCAGAGGCACUCCAAAUCAAUUUGCAGUUUACGAAUCCAUCAUUUAUCAAGUCAAUGGUUUGGUCUCAUGUUUAUAGCUGUUUUUGGUUGGGUCUUCCUAGUAGGUUUUGUGAGGAACAUCUUCCAAAAACAUGAUUUGAAAGGAUGAAAAUAGCUCAGAGUAUAAUGCUGUCUAUAUUGGCAGUAGAAGUGGGCUAAGUGGUAGCUGGAGAGGAUUUGCAUUGGAACAUAAAUUGGAUGAUGGUGAUGCACUUGUUUUUGAAUUGGUUGAAGCAACAAGAUUUAAGAUUUAUAUUAUUGUUAGAGCAUUUGCAAAAAUAGAUGAAGAGGAAGAAGAAGAAAAUACGCACACAUCUAAAGCAGCAAAAGAAACUAAGGCUGCAAGUGAUUGUGAAUCCAUCAAAGAAGACUAAAAAGCAAAAACAAGCCAUUGUAUGUGAAACUAAGGAAUCAGAGAGUUAUGAAGAAAGUCUACCAGAAGGUAACAUUGACAAAGCAUUCAAACAACAGAGGGAAAAUCCGAGUAGAAAAACUAAAUCUUCUCAUAAAAAAAAAUACAAAAGAAAUCGAAACUACCUACUACUCCCGACUCUGGGUCAAAAGCGGAAGCAAAAAUGCAAGUGCUGAAACCAAAGACAGCUAUAAAGAAAACUAAAUCUUCUGAAAAGAUAUAUGAAGUAGCUUCUACUACUCCUGAUCCAAAAGGGGAAGCACAAAUUGAAAUUGUUGAACUAAAGGAAGCUGCAAGGAAUACUAGAUCUUCUCAGAGAAAAAUGCAAAAAGAUAACUGAAGUAUCUAUUACUCUUGAGCCAAAAGGGAAAGCACAAGUUGCAGCUAUAAAGUUGUCAAACAAGGUAAGGAAGUCAAAAGAAGGUAAAAAUGAAUGUGAAAUUGAUGAAUCAACUAAAACUAAGCAGCUUCUUUUGGAAGAUAAUGCUGUUAAUACAACAGAUCCUAACACGAACAAGAAGAAUGAGCAUGUCUGUGAUGAGGAUAUUGAGUUAAUGAAAGUUAAGCCAGAUGGAGAAACAAGCAUAAAUAGUUUGAAAUUGCAAUUAGCCCAACAGUUAGAACUGCAAGAUUUGAGUACUGUUCGAUAUUUCAUGGCAUACUCUCAUAGAGGUGACCAUUUUGUCAACAUCCUUCUCCAGACUAAUCUCUUUGCUACUAAAGUAGUAGAUAAUUCUCUUGAACUUAAUGCUCGAUAUACAUCCUCUGAAAAUGUCCCUCUUUCAGACCAUAUAUUAUGUAUUGAACUCAGUGUAUUCUAUCAUCACUAUUACUAUAACUAAAGUUGCUUAUCAUUUCUUCAUUGGAGUUGCGUGUUUAUCGAAUGUUAAUUGAGUCGGUAAUUCCAUUAAUUGAUUGUAAGUUUACCCACAUGAUUUUGCAUUUUUUCUUUUCUUUC